Molecule: ribosomal RNA, 361 nt
Filed under: uncultured bacterium
Lineage: Bacteria
Description: bacterial SSU rRNA
Rfam family: Bacterial small subunit ribosomal RNA
Source: RNAcentral
AGAGUUUGAUCCUGGCUCAGAACGAACGCUGGCGGCAGGCCUAAUACAUGCAAGUCGAGCGCNCCCUUCGGGGUGAGCGGCGGACGGGUGAGUAACGCGUGGGAAUAUGCCCUUCUCUAAGGAAUAGCCUCUGGAAACGGAGAGUAAUACCUUAUACGCCCUUUUGGGGAAAGAUUUAUCGGAGAAGGAUUAGCCCGCGUUAGAUUAGGUAGUUGGUGGGGUAAUGGCCUACCAAGCCUACGAUCUAUAGCUGGUUUGAGAGGAUGAUCAGCCACACUGGGACUGAGACACGGCCCAGACUCCUACGGGAGGCAGCAGUAGGGAAUCUUAGACAAUGGGGGCAACCCUGAUUCUAGCCAGU